GAUGAACGCUGGCGGCGUGCUUAACACAUGCAAGUCGAGCGAGAAGUUUUGAAAAGAUUCUUCGGAUGAAAUUUAAAAUGGAAAGCGGCGGACGGGUGAGUAACGCGUAGGCAACCUGCCCCAUACAAAGGGAUAGCAUUUGGAAACGAAUAUUAAUACCUUAUGAAACUUAACUAGUGCAUGCUAGGUAGGUCAAAGAUUUAUCGGUAUGGGAUGGGCCUGCGUCUGAUUAGCUAGUUGGUGAGGUAACGGCUCACCAAGGCGACGAUCAGUAGCCGACCUGAGAGGGUGAACGGCCAAAUUGGAACUGAGACACGGUCCAAACUCCUACGGGAGGCAGCAGUGGGGAAUAUUGCACAAUGGGGGAAACCCUGAUGCAGCAACGCCGCGUGAACGAUGAAGGCCUUUGGGUCGUAAAGUUCUGUUCUAGGUGAUGAAAACUGACAGUAACCUAGGAGAAAGCCCCGGCUAACUCCGUG
Molecule: ribosomal RNA, 479 nt
Filed under: uncultured bacterium
Lineage: Bacteria
Description: partial 16S ribosomal RNA
Rfam family: Bacterial small subunit ribosomal RNA
Source: RNAcentral